Molecule: RNA transcript, 1154 nt
Organism: Eurytemora carolleeae
Lineage: Eukaryota; Metazoa; Arthropoda; Copepoda; Calanoida; Temoridae
Gene name: tropomyosin
Exons: 6
Source: RefSeq, a predicted model, not a curated record
AGAGGGAGCCACAACUUGACCUGACCGGCUAGGGUAGCUGGGUUAGCCAGGUAUUGUUCAAGAAUUCCUCAGUUCAGACGGGACAUCCCGACAAACUCAUUCAACUGCCAUCCGACCCAAGCAGUAACACACAAACAACAUGGAUGCCAUCAGGAAGAAGAUGAAGUCCUUGAAGGACGAGACUGAUCAGCUCUACGCCGUCAUUCAGAGGUUUGAAGAUAACACCAAAGAGUCCAACAGAGUAGCCGAUCAAGCUGAUGUUGAUAUCAGAGACUACGGAAAAAAGGUUCACGGCUUUGAGAUUGAGUUUGAUGAAACAAAUGACAAACUUAACAAGGCCCUUGAGUCAUUGGAGGAGAAAGAGAAACACCUGAAGGAGGUUGAAGCUGAUAUUGCUGCCCUGUCCCGUAGGAUCAUGUUGAUGGAGGAGGAGGCUAAGAAAUCAGAACAAACACUCGCAAAUACAGUCACAAAGCUAGCCGUUACCUCCAAGGAAGCUGAUGAUGUUCUCAAGAAGGUCAAGGUUGUAGAGUCUAAAUGCAUGAACAAUGAAGUUACCCUCGAAGAAUUGGAUAACAAUCUAAGACAAACCACCAAGAUGGCAUCAGACAACGAACAGAAGCUUGAUGAGCUCAGCAGAAAGCUUGGAGUCCAAGAAGAGGAGCUUAAGCGUGCUAUUGAGCGCGCAGAACUGGCUGAGAACAAGCUCAAGGGAAUCGAGGAGGAGCUACAAGCUGUUGGUGAGAACAUGAAGCAACUUGAACUGUCUGCUGAGAAGGCCGUGGAGAGAGAAGAAAAGCUCAAGGACAAAAUCCUUAAUAUUCAGCACAAAUACAAAGCAGCUGAGGGCAGGUAUGAGUAUGGAGAGAUGAAUAUCACUAAGCUGAACCAGAGAAUUGAUGAUAUUGAGGAUGAGAUCUACAGAGAGAAACUCAAGAUUAAGAAGGUUGCGGACGAACUGGGAGAGACUUUCGAUGACAUGCUUGCUCACUAUUAAAAAGAUAACAUACAAAUUCAAUUAUAUGGAUGACCAUCAGCGAAUUAGACAUUCAACAUUUGAGAUUGUCAGCUGACCCAGAAACGAAUCCAAAAUAAUAGUUUUCUUUUCAAUUUGGAAAUAAAUAAAAUACAUUGAAUAUAUUUUCAUUUGUGUA